RNAcentral lists this ribosomal RNA (236 nucleotides) under uncultured bacterium. Its description in RNAcentral is "partial 16S ribosomal RNA". It matches the Rfam family "Bacterial small subunit ribosomal RNA", at positions 335 to 563 of the family's 1533-position model. The record is from RNAcentral.
CUUCCUACGGGGGGCAGCAGUAGGGAAUCUUCCACAAUGGACGAAAGUCUGAUGGAGCAACGCCGCGUGAGUGAAGAAGGGUUUCGGCUCGUAAAGCUCUGUUGGGAGUGAAGAAAGAUAGAGGGAGUAACUGGCCUUUAUUUGACGGUAAUUACUUAGAAAGUCACGGCUAACUACGUGCCAGCAGCCGCCGGAAUACGUAAGUGGCAAGCGCUUUCCGGGUUUAUUGGGCGUAA